Molecule: ribosomal RNA, 440 nt
Filed under: uncultured bacterium
Lineage: Bacteria
Description: partial 16S ribosomal RNA
Rfam family: Bacterial small subunit ribosomal RNA
Source: RNAcentral
CCUACGGGAGGCAGCAGUGGGGAAUAUUGCACAAUGGGGGAAACCCUGAUGCAGCGACGCCGCGUGAGUGAAGAAGUAAUUCGUUAUGUAAAGCUCUAUCAGCAGGGAAGAAAAUGACGGUACCUGAGUAAGAAGCCCCGGCUAACUACGUGCCAGCAGCCGCGGUAAUACGUAGGGGGCAAGCGUUAGCCGGAUUUACUGGGUGUAAAGGGAGCGUAGACGGCAGUGCAAGUCUGGAGGGAAAGGCGGGGGCUCAACCCCCGGACUGCCCUGGAAACUGUACGGCUUGAGUGCAGGAGAGGUAAGUGGAAUUCCUAGUGUAGCGGUGAAAUGCGUAGAUAUUAGGAGGAACACCAGUGGCGAAGGCGGCUUACUGGACUGUAACUGACGUUGAGGCUCGAAAGCGUGGGGAGCAAACAGGAUUAGAUACCCGGGUAGUC